CUACGGAGGGUCCGAGCGUUAUCCGGAAUCAUUGGGUUUAAAGGGUCCGUAGGCGGGAAUCUAAGUCAGUGGUGAAAUCUUGCAGCUCAACUGUAAAAUUGCCAUUGAUACUGGAUUUCUUGAAUUAGUGUGAAGUGGUUAGAAUGUGUAGUGUAGCGGUGAAGUGCAUAGAUAUUACACAGAAUACCAAUUGCGAAGGCAGAUCACUAACACUAUAUUGACGUUAAGGGACGAAGGCGUGGGGAGCGAACAGGAUUAGAAACCCGGGUAGUCC
Molecule: ribosomal RNA, 274 nt
Filed under: uncultured bacterium
Lineage: Bacteria
Description: partial 16S ribosomal RNA
Rfam family: Bacterial small subunit ribosomal RNA
Source: RNAcentral